This is a long non-coding RNA of Bombus impatiens (common eastern bumble bee), 149 nucleotides long. RefSeq lists it as uncharacterized. NCBI's taxonomy places the organism in Eukaryota, Metazoa, Arthropoda, Insecta, Hymenoptera, Apidae. The record is from RefSeq and is a predicted model, not a curated record. The transcript is spliced from 2 exons.
GUGGCGCCUUCGCAGACGUGUAACAUUACACGUUCUUCGGGUAUAUUCGGUAUGUAGCUGGUCUAAGAAUUGGAUUGGAAGGACAAGCUCUUUCUGUAUAUGGUAUUGCAGUAAAAGAUUCAAGAGCAUGACAAAGCACAUCAAAACCA